CGCCCGCCAGUAGGGAGCGCGAGCAGGCUUUGGACCGUCGGUGAGACCGGCCAGUCUUUACCC
Molecule: ribosomal RNA, 63 nt
Filed under: Mesodinium pulex
Lineage: Eukaryota; Ciliophora; Litostomatea; Cyclotrichida; Mesodiniidae
Description: partial Eukaryotic large subunit ribosomal RNA
Source: RNAcentral